GUGUCCAUAGCUUAGUGGUGGAGCAUUUGACUGCAAAUCAAGGUGUCACCGGUUCAAGUCCGGUUGGGCCCU
Hibiscus syriacus is the source of this 72-nucleotide non-coding RNA. The record is from the annotation of a RefSeq genome assembly. Lineage: Eukaryota; Viridiplantae; Streptophyta; Magnoliopsida; Malvales; Malvaceae.